UACGUAGGGUGCGAGCGUUGUCCGGAAUUAUUGGGCGUAAAGAGCUCGUAGGCGGUCUGUCGCGUCGGUCGUGAAAACUUGGGGCUUAACCCUGAGCUUGCGUUCGAUACGGGUGGGCUGGAGUUCGGUAGGGGAGACUGGAAUUCCUGGUGUAGCGGUGAAAUGCGCAGAUAUCAGGAGGAACACCGGUGGCGAAGGCGGGUCUCUGGGCCGAUACUGACGCUGAGGAGCGAAAGCGUGGGGAGCAAACAGG
This 253-nucleotide ribosomal RNA is filed under the name uncultured bacterium. Its description in RNAcentral is "partial 16S ribosomal RNA". It matches the Rfam family "Bacterial small subunit ribosomal RNA", at positions 524 to 776 of the family's 1533-position model. The record is from RNAcentral.